GUUCAAUGUUAUUGGGAGUUUUGAUGGACUGACUUAGUCCAGACUGGAGAUCACAGACAGAAAAAGGACACUGAACUCAUGCAAGAGGGAACUGGCCAUGAUCUACAGGAGGGGACCCAGCCUAAAUGAAAGGUUCCAGGAGCACACAGGAAAUCCGUCUGGUCUCUUGCAGUGUGUGGAUAGAGCUGGAAACUCCUCCUGUCAAGCCAUUAACAUGGGGUGGGAGGGUAAAAGUUUUUUGUUCUGAGGUGAUGAUACCAGAGUGGCAGAGACAGAAGCUGUUCAACAGGAAACCCAGGCCCUCUAGUGGUUAAUUCUCAUGUUUUUGGACACAUUGGGUGUCCCAAAGAGGUGAUGAUUUGUACACCAAGCUGGGGAACCUGCUAUACUGUUUGCAUUUGUAGAUUUCCCCUCCACCCUCCAAU
RNAcentral lists this long non-coding RNA (425 nucleotides) under Marmota monax (woodchuck). Lineage: Eukaryota; Metazoa; Chordata; Mammalia; Rodentia; Sciuridae. The record is from RNAcentral.